Molecule: non-coding RNA, 114 nt
Organism: Anolis carolinensis (green anole)
Lineage: Eukaryota; Metazoa; Chordata; Lepidosauria; Squamata; Anolidae
Source: Rfam
AGAUGUAGUCAAUGCCAUAAAAGCAGCAGAUUCCAUCUGAUCUCAGAAGCUAAGAAAGGUCAGCCUUGGCUAGUACUUGAGUGGGAGACUGCAGAGGUCCUGUGGCUGAAGUCA